CCUACGGGAGGCAGCAGUGAGGAAUAUUGGACAAUGGGCGCAAGCCUGAUCCAGCCAUGCCGCGUGCAGGAUGACGGUCCUAUGGAUUGUAAACUGCUUUUAUACAGGAAGAAACACCUCUACGUGUAGAGACUUGACGAUACUGUAAGAAUAAGGAUCGGCUAACUCCGUGCCAGCAGCCGCGGUAAU
This 189-nucleotide ribosomal RNA is filed under the name uncultured Bacteroides sp. RNAcentral's name for it is "partial 16S ribosomal RNA". It matches the Rfam family "Bacterial small subunit ribosomal RNA", at positions 338 to 524 of the family's 1533-position model. Lineage: Bacteria; Pseudomonadati; Bacteroidota; Bacteroidia; Bacteroidales; Bacteroidaceae. The record is from RNAcentral.